RNAcentral lists this ribosomal RNA (460 nucleotides) under uncultured bacterium. RNAcentral describes it as "partial 16S ribosomal RNA". It matches the Rfam family "Bacterial small subunit ribosomal RNA", at positions 338 to 795 of the family's 1533-position model. The record is from RNAcentral.
CCUACGGGUGGCAGCAGUGAGGAAUAUUGGUCAAUGGGCGAGAGCCUGAACCAGCCACGUCGCGUGAAGGAUGGAGGAUCUAUGGUGUGUAAACUUCUUUUAUAUGGGGCUAUAGUGAGGAACGUGUUCCUUUUUGUAUGUACCAUAUGAAUAAGCAUCGGCUAACUCCUUGCCAGCAGCCGCGGUAAUACGGAGGAUGCGAGCUUUAUCCGGAUUUAUUGGGUUUAAAGGGUGCGUAGGUGGUUAAUUAAGUCAGCGGGGAAAGUUUGUGGAUAAAGCAUAAAAUUGCCGUUGAAACUGGUUGACUUGAGUAUAGAUGAGGUAGGCGGAAUGCGUGGUGUAGCGGUGAAAUGCAUAGAUAUCACGCAGAACUCCGAUUGCGAAGGCAGCUUACUAAACUAUAACUGACACUGAAGCACGAAAGCGUGGGGAUCAAACAGGAUUAGAUACCCUAGUAGUC